UUUCUAAAAGUGAAAGAAAUUUCACAGAAGCAUGUAUAGAAAUUCUUAAAAAAUCUGAGUACUAAAGAUUUACUUCAGUAGAACAGCUGCUGACCUGUAGUAUCUUGGACGUGAAGUAAGCAAUCAGAAUAACAAGACUUUCCUAGAAUAUCAGAUUCCCACAUUAGCGCAUAAUCAGAACCAAAUGCAAGCAUCAGGUCUCAAGCCCCACACUUUCCCUGAAAAGCAAAAGGUGGGAGCUGGAAGGAUGACAAUAUGGUAGCAUGGGGAGGUCAUCUAAAAAAUGGUAACUAAUUAAGCAACCACAUUAAAAAUAACUUGUGUUGUCUUGUCACUGUGUACUUUCCUGUUAAUAUGAGCUCCUAGAAAUUCUGUCAUUCGUAAUCUCUUUGUGCAGGUGCUGAUGCUUGAUGCUUUUUGAUAGCAAAUGAGAGAAAACCAAGAAAAAACGCUCAUUGUGCAUUAAGUCAUCUGCCCUCGCUGCAAAGAAUUUCCAAAAGAAAUUUCUUCUUUCAGAAGGUCAGGACCAUCAUCACUCAACACAAUAAGAGAAAAAGUGGCUCUCCUCCACCCCCCAAUUCCAGAGGCUUUAGAAUGUAAGUGGCAAAAUACUGGGGGAAAAGGGGAGAGUUCUGUCUCUUGAGAAUGUUUGAAAACUAACACUCCAUCAAGGAAGGAAUCUAGUUUUUUUGAGAACAUACAUAACAAUCUCAUGAGAUCAGUAAUAUUCUCCCCAUUUUAAAUAUAAGGAACCUAAGGCCAUGGGAAGUUAAUUAUUUUCCAUAUAGAAAGUUGCAAAAUACAAAUUCAAAUCCAGUUCAUGUUUUUUUCCAAUUCUGUGUUCUUUUCAAACUAAGUGGCCAAUUUCAAAAUUAAAUAUAUAUAA
Molecule: long non-coding RNA, 886 nt
Filed under: Felis catus (domestic cat)
Lineage: Eukaryota; Metazoa; Chordata; Mammalia; Carnivora; Felidae
Description: lncRNA (ENSFCAG00000042051.2)
Source: RNAcentral